CACACCGCCCGUCACGCCAUGGAAGCUGUGAGCGCCCGAAGUCCGUGUCGGAACCCGCAAGGGAAGUAGCCGCUGAAGUUGUGGUUGGUGAUUGGGGUG
RNAcentral lists this ribosomal RNA (99 nucleotides) under uncultured bacterium. Its description in RNAcentral is "partial 16S ribosomal RNA". The record is from RNAcentral.